GUGGGGAAUAUUGGACAAUGGGGGGAACCCUGAUCCAGCCAUGCCGCGUGUGUGAAGAAGGCCUUUUGGUUGUAAAGCACUUUAAGCGAGGAGGAGGCUACCGAGAUUAAUACUCUUGGAUAGUGGACGUUACUCGCAGAAUAAGCACCGGCUAACUCUGUGCCAGCAGCCGCGGUAAUACAGAGGGUGCAAGCGUUAAUCGGAUUUACUGGGCGUAAAGCGCGCGUAGGUGGCCAAUUAAGUCAAAUGUGAAAUCUCCGAGCUUAACUUGGGAAUUGCAUUCGAUACUGGUUGGCUAGAGUAUGGGAGAGGAUGGUAGAAUUCCAGGUGUAGCGGUGAAAUGCGUAGAGAUCUGGAGGAAUACCGAUGGCGAAGGCAGCCAUCUGGCCUAAUACUGACACUGAGGUGCGAAAGCAUGGGGAGCAAACAGGAUUAGAUACCCUAGUAGUCC
This 451-nucleotide ribosomal RNA is filed under the name uncultured bacterium. RNAcentral describes it as "partial 16S ribosomal RNA". It matches the Rfam family "Bacterial small subunit ribosomal RNA", at positions 354 to 796 of the family's 1533-position model. The record is from RNAcentral.